AGACUUAAAUGGGCUACAUGUUUUAGUUAUUGUUGAAACCCAAGCCCAAACCAACUUAAAACAAAAAGUCCAAAAUGGCAAACCCUAAUUAGAGAGAGGCAACAAAGAAACUAGAGAACCCUAGUUUGAUUGAGGAGGCGGCCAACAUGAAAAGAGGCGGCUAGACAGAAACACGAAUGGAAAGAAAAACCAGGAUGCGAAAACGAAAGAGAAAUGAAGGAACUGCGAUGGUGAGGAAGGUGACAGCUACCUCGGCGACAGUGAGGAAGGUGACGACAACCUCAGCGACGGUGGCAGCGCCGACAACGACAAUGGCGACAGUGACAUCAACGAUGGCAAAAAAGACAUCAUCACAGGUUUGUAUUUUAAUCGUUUUACGUUUCUUUAAAAAAAACCUACAUUUUUAAAAAGUGAUUGUUUGAUGAUGAUAAAGAGCAAGAAGGAAAGAUACCUUAAUGUUUCGUUUUUGUUGUUUAUUACUGCAACUCUCUGAUUUCUUCCCCUUCCCCUUCUCUGUAUGUGUUUUUUUUAUAUAUCAGUAGUGUUAGUCUCCGAUUCUUUCCCCUCUUUGAAAUUUUAUAGGGUAUAUUUAUAGAGUUUUUUAUGUGUUUAGUUGUUUUCUGGUCUGCCUUGGUCCUUCUCUAUCUAUUUCAUGUUUGAUGUUUUGAUUGCUUUGCUCAUCAUCUGUAUUUUCUUGCACCACUGAUGCCUUCAUAAAUUUAGAUUAUUUGUUUUGAUUUGUUGAUUUGCUGAGCAUAUUCAUUUGUCUUUUAGUUUCUUUUUUUAAACUCAAAAAUUUGUCAUUUAGUUUUUAUCAUGUAUACUGAGUCUGACUGGUAAAAAAAAAAUGGUUUUCAGAUUCUCUAAUUAGUUACAGCAAAGGUCAAUGACACUGCAUCUGAAACAGAAAUGCAGCAACAGAGCCAAACACUGCAUCAGAAACAAAGAGGCAACAACAACAACAAAACAGAGCCAAAUGCUUCAUUUGAAAAAGUUUGACCUAAUUUUUAUUGUAAUUUAAUUUGGUUUUAUUUUUUGUUGCAAUUUGAAAUUGUAAUUUGAUUUAAAUUUAGAAUUGUAAUUGUAAAUUGAUUUGGUAUUAAAAAAAUUAUGAGCC
Molecule: long non-coding RNA, 1117 nt
Filed under: Cicer arietinum (chickpea)
Lineage: Eukaryota; Viridiplantae; Streptophyta; Magnoliopsida; Fabales; Fabaceae
Description: long non-coding RNA (CARI_LNC002699)
Source: RNAcentral